AAUUCACGCGCAUAAUAAUGAAUAUGAAUAUUUUGAACCAAAAAUAAUUAAAUAAAAAGAAAAACAUCAUUAAAAUAAAAAUUAAAAAUAAAUAAGUAAAAAAGAAAAAAAACAAAAGAGAUAUUCUCUCUUCUUCUUCCCUGGCCCACUUCCCUUCGCUCAACAACUGCCCCUCCAUUUUCGCCCCCCGUCCCCAUCCCCAUCAAUGUAUCCUUCUGCUUCUUCUUCCCCAUUGCCUCAAUGCUUUGACAUAUGCAUUUUUUGUGAAGAUCAGAGAAUGAACAAGACAUGUACAGAAUCGGGGCAUUCUACUUGGAACACAGAAUUCCAUAGAUAGCGAUGAGAUGGAGUCCCCUUCAUAGUGUGACGAGACCGUAACUCAAACAAGACGAUCUGUCCGGCCUAGCGAACUUUCAAUGCCA
This 422-nucleotide long non-coding RNA is filed under the name Nicotiana benthamiana. Its description in RNAcentral is "long non-coding RNA (NBEN_LNC027622)". Lineage: Eukaryota; Viridiplantae; Streptophyta; Magnoliopsida; Solanales; Solanaceae. The record is from RNAcentral.